AUUGAACGCUGGCGGCAGGCCUAACCCAUGCAAGUCGAGCGGACGAAGGGAGCUUGUUCCUGGUUUCAGCGGCGGACGGGCGUGUAAUGCCUACGAAUCUCCCUGGUAGUGGGGGAUAAUCUCCGGAAACGGGCGCUAAUACCGCCUACGUCCAGAGGGCGAACGUGGGGGAUCUUUCGCCCUCACGUUCCCAGCUGAGCCUAGGUCAGAUUAGCGAGUCGGUGGGGUAAAGGCCUACCAAGGCGACGAUCCGUACCUGGUCUGCGUGGAUGAGGACUCACACAGGACCUGAGACACGUUCCAGAGUGUUGAGGGAGGCAGCAGUGGGGAAUAUUGGGCAAUGGGCGAAAGCCUGAUCCAACCAUGCCACGUGUGUGAAGAAGGCUCUCGGAUUGUAGAGAACUUUAAAGUGGGAGAAAGGGCAGUAACUUAAUACCUUGCUGUUUUGACGUUACCAACAAAAUAAGCACCGGCUAACUUCGUG
This 484-nucleotide ribosomal RNA is filed under the name uncultured bacterium. RNAcentral describes it as "partial 16S ribosomal RNA". It matches the Rfam family "Bacterial small subunit ribosomal RNA", at positions 30 to 507 of the family's 1533-position model. The record is from RNAcentral.